This 825-nucleotide ribosomal RNA is filed under the name Ricasolia virens. Its description in RNAcentral is "SSU rRNA". It matches the Rfam family "Bacterial small subunit ribosomal RNA", at positions 1 to 1144 of the family's 1533-position model. Lineage: Eukaryota; Fungi; Ascomycota; Lecanoromycetes; Peltigerales; Lobariaceae. The record is from RNAcentral.
GAAAAGCGAAAGCUAAUUGCAUUUACUUAAAAUUAAAUUUUAAGAGAGUGUCCCUUUUUAUUUAUAAAAAAUUGGAUGGCUUUUAAGAGAGUGGUCCCUUUUUAUUUUAAAAAUUUGAAAACCUUUUAAAGAGGAAGGGUCCAUUUUUUAUGUAGUUACUACUUUAUAGUUUAAAAUUCUAGAUAGAAUUAUGAUGAUGACAUUAUCUAUCUAUUAGUCUUGACCAAAUUACGUGCCAGCAGUCGCGGUAAUACGUAAAAGACAAGUGUUAUUCAUCUUUAUUGGGUUUAAAGAGUACCAAGACGGUUAAUAAAGCCCAAAAUACAUGAACACAGGGGACACAUUAACUAGAGUUAUAUGAAAGGAAGCACUAAAGUACUGUUGAGUGUAGAGAUAAAAUUCUAUCAUACCAUAUAAAGGCACAGAUUUAUGCGAAGGCAUCUUCUUAUGUAAUAACUGACGUUGUAGGACGAAGGCUUUUUAAGUGAAGAGGAUUAGAGACCCUUGUAAUCUAAGCAGAAAAUGAUGAAUGUCAUAGGUUUAAUAUAUUAUUGGGUCUAUAAAUGAAAGUGUAAGCAUUCCACCUCAAGAGUAAUUUGGCAACAUUGGAACUGAAAUCAUUAGACCGUUUCUGAAACCAGUAGUGAAGUAUGUUGUUUAAUUAGAUGAUACACAAAAAACCUUACCACAAUUUGAAUAUAUAUCUUUAAAGAUAUUUACAAGCGUUGCACGGCUGUCUUCAGUUAAUGUCGUGAGAUUUUGGUUAGUUCCAUAAAAUUAACGUAAACCCUCGUUUUAUUUAGAAAUAAAAUUUAGAUCUGUUUC